Molecule: unclassified non-coding RNA, 182 nt
Filed under: Funneliformis sp.
Lineage: Eukaryota; Fungi; Glomeromycota; Glomeromycetes; Glomerales; Glomeraceae
Description: partial internal transcribed spacer region
Rfam family: Eukaryotic small subunit ribosomal RNA (bases 1-46)
Source: RNAcentral
AAGUCGUAACAAGGUUUCCGUAGGUGAACCUGCGGAAGGAUCAUUAAUGAUUUUUAAGGCGAGUCGAGCGGUAAAGCGAGGCUUGCGAAAAUAUUUAAAACCCCACUCUUUAACUAAAAAAUAAAUCAUGAUACAUGAAUUUAAAAAAAAGAUCACUUUCAACAACGGAUCUCUUGGCUCUC